RNAcentral lists this ribosomal RNA (254 nucleotides) under uncultured bacterium. RNAcentral describes it as "partial 16S ribosomal RNA". It matches the Rfam family "Bacterial small subunit ribosomal RNA", at positions 524 to 776 of the family's 1533-position model. The record is from RNAcentral.
UACGUAGGCAGCAAGCGUUGUUCGGAGUUACUGGGCGUAAAGAGUGCGUAGGCGGCGUCGAAAGUUUGGCGUGAAAUCUCCCGGCUUAACUGGGAGGGUGCGCCGAAAACUGCGGUGCUGGAGUGUGGGAAAGGCAAGCGGAAUUCCUGGUGUAGCGGUGAAAUGCGUAGAUAUCAGGAGGAACACCAAUGGCGAAGGCAGCUCGCUGGAACGGUACUGACGCUGAGGCGCGAAAGCGUGGGGGAGCAAACAGG